Molecule: long non-coding RNA, 1061 nt
Filed under: Equus caballus (horse)
Lineage: Eukaryota; Metazoa; Chordata; Mammalia; Perissodactyla; Equidae
Description: lncRNA (ENSECAG00000054063.1)
Source: RNAcentral
UAACCCAAUCACUGUCAAGGUCCACUCUUGAAGCAGAGAGGUGUGGUCAGUCUCACUAGAACUACAUGGACUGAGGCUGGGGAAGGGCUUGUUCCCGAAGCAAAACCAGGGCACCUGCAACUGGAUGGAUGGAUGGGGGAUGAAUGCUAGGCAGGCAAAGACUAACGGCCACACAGCGGAUGGGAAGAGAAUCACGUGCAGUUAGUGCCAAUCAGAAAAUGGUGAGUUAUCCAACUGCAGGGAAGGAAACAAUAACCACAACACGUGACACUACCGCAGGCGAACGCAGGGCCAGGCGAUCACUCGUGCUUUCAUGCCGGAGCUCCCCGAGUCCUCCCAGUGACCCCAGGAGAGACUACUGUUGUUAUAACCGCCCUGCUUAGUAGGAAAGAAAGCUGAGCCCAAAGCGGCUAGGCGCGUUGACCCAGUCCACACAGCUAACAGAGGCUCAUGCUAGAAUUCCAGACCACCUGCCUGUCUCUGGAGUCUACAGUCCUUGUCACCGUGCCAUUUAUCCAACAAACAUUCGUGCAGCUGCUCUGGAUCAGGCGCUGUCCCAGCAGAGGCUGCAGUUGACCAAACCCAACACAAAUCCAUGCCCGCACGGAGGGUGAGUUCUAGCGGGGGAGAGCGCGUUAACAGUAAACAUUAAAGUGAAUGCGUACCUGUGGUGAGGACGUCUGUGGAGGGGUCACGUGGCAAGGAGCUGAGAACCGUCCCUAGGAGCUGAGAGCAGCCCCCAGCCAACAGCCAGCAAGAAAAUGGGGACCUCAGUCCUCGAGUCACAAGGAAAUGAACUCUACUGACAGCCACAGGCUCUGAGCAGACCCAGCUCACAGUCUGAGUUCUGCCUCCGGAGAGGCUGAGUGGAAGACCCCGCUAGGCUGGGCCCCAACUUCUGCCCUCAGAACAGGAGGUAACUUGUCACGUGGCAGUGGACAGCCAAGGCGAUGCUGGUAACUACCUCCUGAGGUUGUUAUAACAGGAACGAUCUGCGUGCAAAGUGCUUGGACAGAGCCUGGAACGCGUGAAUAACUAAUACGGGGCAGCGGGGAUGUGAA